CCUACGGGUGGCAGCAGUCGAGAAUAUUUCACAAUGGGCGAAACCCUGAUGCUGCGACGCCGCGUGAGGGAAGAAAGUCCUUCGGAUUGUAAACUCCUUUCAUGUGGGAGCAAAUUAAAUAUAUUGUACCACAAUGGGUAGACACGGCUAACUCUGUGCGAGCAGCCGCGGUAAUACAGAGGUGGCACGCGUUUGUCGGAAUCACUGGGCGUAAAGGGUGUGUAGGCUGGUUGGUAAGUCGUGUGUGAAAGGCGCGGGCUCAACCGGGGUACGGCAGUUGAAACUGGGAGACUGGAGUAAAGGAGAGGAGAGCGGAAUUCGAGGUGUAGCAGUGAAAUGCGUAGAUAUCGGGAGGAACACCAGUGGCGAAGGCGAGUCCCUGGACCAUAACUGACGCUGAGGAGCGAAGGCGAGGGUAGCAAACAGGAUUAGAUACCCGUGUAGUC
This 446-nucleotide ribosomal RNA is filed under the name uncultured bacterium. RNAcentral's name for it is "partial 16S ribosomal RNA". It matches the Rfam family "Bacterial small subunit ribosomal RNA", at positions 338 to 795 of the family's 1533-position model. The record is from RNAcentral.